RNAcentral lists this long non-coding RNA (281 nucleotides) under Homo sapiens (human). RNAcentral describes it as "non-protein coding lnc-HLA-DPA1-2:1". Lineage: Eukaryota; Metazoa; Chordata; Mammalia; Primates; Hominidae. The record is from RNAcentral.
CACGGUGACAGGACUGUCCAGGCUGGUGUGCUCCACUUGGCAGGUGUAGACAUCUCCCUGCUGGGGGGUCAUUUCCAGCAUCACCAGGAUCUGGAAGGUCCAGUCUCCAUUACGGAUCAGGUUGGUGGACACGACCCCAGCUGUUUCCUCCUGUCCAUUCAGGAACCAUCGGACUUGAAUGCUGCCUGGGUAGAAAUCCGUCACGUGGCAGACAAGCAGGUUGUGGUGCUGCAAGGGCCCCUUCUUGGAGGGGGAAACAUUCACCCUAGGCUGGACUAGGA